CACACACACACACACAUGUUACCUUGUAAACAGGACCAUAUCCACCCUCCCCAAGGUUAUUUCUAAUUGAAAAUCCCUCGGUGGCCGCCUCAAUAUCAGCCAAACUAUAUACUCUGAGAUUAGGAACAUUUCUGUUAAAGUCUCCAGCUUCUGUUUCAUUAUUUUCUCUCGUGUUUGAUGCUUUAGCAGAAUCCUCUGUUCCUAACAUCAACCAAGAGUAAAUAUUAGAUAAUUAAUUGUAUGUCAGCCUAAGUUUUAUAUAUAUAUGAAAUGCAUGCUUAAUUAUAAUUGGUAGCUGAAGCUUGUUACCUUCUAUUAACUUGAGCCUUUUCAUCUGGUUGUAUUUAUAUGCACAACAACUUAGAAGGAGAGUCAAAGCUGCCGCUGCAGUCGAAAUGAGUACCAAGGACAGAUGGCGGUUAUUACUAUGUUCAUCUUUGUCAGCUGAAGCAGAAGUAAUCCUGUCUUUUUGUGCUGGAAAUAUGUAUAGUUCAGCAAUUAAUAAUAACUAGCUAGAGAUGCCAUAACAAUCAUUAUUAAUCAGAGAGAACAAUUAUUGCAUAGAUAAAUACCUGCAGCUUGAGAAAGUACCCAAUUAUGAUCGUCAUAAUCAACUCGCCAAACAUAGUAACCAAGAAAUCUCUUCUCUUUGGCAUAGGCGAUCUUAGCUCUAACAGCCUCCACAUCAUCAAAACCAAACCAAAUCGUCCCAGUGGAGAAGUAAUUCACCACAUAAGUUGAAUUGUACAUAACUUGAACAUUAGGACCAUAGGUCUUGAUGUGAUUCUUGAUAUCCCUAUAGGUCACAAGGCCACCAUUACUCAUAGCUGGUCCUGCUGCUGCUACUCCAAUACCAUUGUCUUCAGGUUUCACAAGCGUCCAUGCAUAGCCGUAGAAAGGCAAACACAAAACCAACUUAUCAGCCAAUAACCCUCUCUAAAUCCAUGCCCUUAAAACCUGAUCAGUACUGUCAAAGAAGCUCAUAAUGCAUGGAAGGAUGCAGCACACGUGUGAGAUGAAUAUAGUCAGCUGAAUCAAUUGAAGAGUGGAGUGCCAGCUCAGCUGAAGUUAGUUAGACACGUUAAGAUCAAGUUUUAGUUAGUUCUUCAUUUUCUGUUAAGCUGAAAAACAGCUGAGUAUAAAUACAAGCAUAUUGUAAUCAUUUUGAGGUUAAGUAAAAAUAAAAUAAAGCAUUUGAUUCCAGAAUUUCUUUUACAAAUUUUCUUAGCACUUUAGAUACAUUUUCUCAGUAACCAAACAGUUUGUUCAUUCAAGCUUUUAAGCUUUCAAACAUGGUAUCAGAGCCUUACAGAGCUAGUUCCAGUAAUCAACAGUCAAGCCUUCGUAAUCAAACAACAAACAACACAAAUCAACCUACUCAAAUCAACUUCUCUUUUUCUAAUCCUAUCAAGCUAGAUCGAUCCAAUUACUUACUCUGGCGUUCUCAAGUUUUGGCCUCAAUAAGAGGCAAUCGUUUGGAAGAUUUCGUCACAAGAGCCAGAUCAGUACCUGAUAAGUGUCUUCUGUUAACUGAAGCAGAUGGAUCUACACAACAAGUUGAAAAUCCAGAAUAUCAGAUCUGGAGAUCACAGGAUCAGACACUUCUUGGCUGGCUACUGUUGUCAUUAAGUGAAGGUAUCUUAAGUCUUGUAAUCAAUUGUGAGAGUUCAUUUGAUAUAUGGAAAACUUUGGAAAAGAAAUUUGGAGUUCAAUCUGAAGCUCGAGUUCUUCAGCUCAGAUACGAACUAAACACUCUUAAAAAGGAAGCCCUUAGUGUUGAAGAUUAUUGUAUUAAAAUGAAAGCAAUAGCAGAUAAGCUGGCCAGUGCUGGUAGUUCAAUUACAGAGAAGGAUCUUAUGCUAACUAUUCUUAAUGGAUUAGGAUCAUGAUAUCGUGAUAUUGCUACAUUUAUAACUGGUUCACGAAUGGAGUUUGAUGAUGCUUAUGCACUGUUACUCACUCAUGAGACUAGAUUAGAGCAGGAGCAAGGUGACAAAAGUAUGUUUAAUGCAAACUAUGCAUACACAAAUGCAUAUUAUCCUAGAGCUUAUUUUGCACAGCCUAGAAGAAGUUUUAAACGAGGAGGUUAUUCUGGUGGUAGAACUCCUUUCUUUGGCAGAGGAAAUAUGAAUUACUCUCCAAGAAUGUUUAAUGGAGGCUUUAGAAAUGGAUAUGGCAGAGGAUUUUUUCCUGGAAAUAACUCAACUGAUUUCAAUCAUUUUCCAGCUCCUAGGAAUCCAGUACCUAGGAACUCAUCUUUUCCAGCUAGAAAUGGAUCUGCUAACAUGAGUGGAUCACAAGGAAGUUUUAAUAAUGCUGGAGAGAUGACAUGUCAGAUUUGUUUUAAGAAUGGCCAUACUGCUGAUGUCUGUUGGCACAGAUUUGUUGAAGAUUUUGUACCUGUUCCAAGAGGUUUUGGCAAGGGAAGAACACCAAGAGCAGCAUAUUUAUCAAACUUUGAUGGCUCCAUUUCUAAUCCAGAUUUUGGCUAUGAAAAUCUUAAUACUAUGUUUCCAGGUUAUGACUCUAUAUCUGGCAAUAGCUACUAUUCUGGAAUGGAUGGAUACACUUCUGGAGCAGCUAGAACAGCUUUCAUGGCAAAUUUUGAAGGGACUGCUGAUGAUGGAUGGUAUCUGGAUAGUGGGGCAACUCACCAUUUAACCAACAAUAUGGAGAAUUUGCAGAUCAAUGAAGAGUUUAAAGGUACUGAUUAGCUUAUCAUUGGAAAUGGUCAAGGUUUGUCUAUUACUCAUGUUGGACAUGCAUUUCUGGUAUUAAGAGCUUCUAAACCCUUAUCUACACAUGCUAGAAUAAAACUUAAAGAUAUGUUACUUGUCCCUUCAAUUACCAAAAAUCUAUUAAGUAUUUCUAAACUCACAUCUGAUAACCCUUUAUCUGUUGAAUUCUGUGGAAAUGCUUGUUUUGUGAAGGACAUGAAGGGUCAAGUUCUUCUGCAGGGUAUUGCUGAAAAAGGCCUUUACAAGCUGCUGCUGAACUCAAAUUCUCUUUCUUCAUCACCUACAUCUUAUCUUUGUAAAUCCCAGCCAAAUAAACUAGUCUCUAUGUUGUCUGCUUUCAAACACUCUGAUAAUGGUACUCGAGCUUGUUUUCAGUUUGUUUUAAAUAAGUGUAAUGCCAAACCUAAUGUAAUAACUUUGUUACAUAGAAAGUUUGGUCAUCCAAGCUCAAUGACAUUGAUGCAUUUGCUCAAAUCAUGUAAACAGUUUAAAGUCUCUCCAAAAGACAUGUUAUCUUCUGCAAGUACUUUAUGUGAAGCAUGUCAGCUAGGCAAAGUCCAUAAGCAACAUUUCUCAAUAACCGAAACAAAAACAAAAGAGGUAUUAGAAUUGAUCCAUACUGAUCUUUGGGGGCCUUCACCCACUGUGUCUAGAGAUGGAUACAAAUAUUACAUUAGUUUUGUGGAUGAUUACACUAGGUACUCUUGGAUCUAUCCUCUUAAGCUCAAAUCACAAGCAUUUGAAGUUUUCAAAUUGUGCAAAACUCAAGUUGAAAAUCAGUUUGAUACCAAAAUUAAGAUGCUACAAUCUGACCUUAGGGGAGAGUUUAGAGCAUUUACUGAUUUUCUCAAUCAAAAUGGAAUAAUCUUUAGGCACUCAUGUCCUUACAUCCAUCACCAGAAUGGUCUUGUUGAGAGGAAGCACAGGCAUAUAGUUGAACUAGGAUUAACCCUCAUGGCUCAAGCAAAUCUUCCUCUUCAAUUCUGGUGGGAAGCUGUUCAUACAGCAGUGUAUCAUAUUAAUAGAUUGCCUACCCCUGUUCUGAAAUUCUUAUCUCCUUAUGAGAAACUUUUCAAACACAAACCAGAUUACACAUUUCUAAAGUGUUUUGGUUGUCUUUGUUAUCCAUACUUGAGAGACUUUAACAAACAUAAGUUUGAUUUUCACACUUCUAAAUGCAUUUUUAUUAGAUACAAUCCCUCUUAUAAAGGAUACAAAUGCUUAGCAAGUUUUGGUAAAGUCUAUGUUCUUAGACAUGUCAUUUUUUAUGAAACACAUUCCCUUAUCCAAUAAACAUUGCAUUCUCAACAGAAAAUCACAUAUCUUCUAAAACCUCAGUGUCUAAUUUCUCUCAGCAACAUAUCUAUCAUCUUUCUACAAUAGCCUUACUCAACAGCAGCUUUGAAGGUCUUCAGUCAGCAAGCUCAGCAAGAAAUGAACAAAUGCCCUUUGGUCCCACACAUACAGAUGUUUUGAAUCAACAAGAACAUCCAUCACACACAUCCUUAGAGUUAUCAUCCUCAACCUCACCAUCACCAAACACAUUACUAAUGCAAUCAUCCAUUCUACAACCAGAGGAAACUUCUUCACAGAAUAUAGACCAAAUUCAAACCAGAAAUCAUUCCCAACCAUCUUCUCAUCCAAUGAUUACCAGAUCGAAAUCUGGAAUCUUCAAACCAAAGGUCUAUACAGUCACCUUAGCCAACAAAGAACCCAGUACAGUUCAAGAAGCUCUUAGUAGUCAGAAUUGGCAUCAAGCCAUGGUAGAUGAGUAUGAAGCUUUGAUGAAGAAUAAGACUUGGUCACUGGUACCAUUUUCAAAUGCAUACAAAGUAGUUGACAACAAAUGGGUGUUUAGACUCAAGCAAAAUACUGAUGGAAGCAUAGCCAAACACAAGGCCAGAUUGGUUGCCAAAGGUUUUCAGCAAACUGAAGGUGUGGAUUACUUUGAGACAUUUAGCCCAGUUGUAAAAGCUUCAACAGUGAGGAUUGUUUUGAGUUUAGCUGUGAUGCAUAAAUGGAAAAUAAGGCAAGUGGAUGUGAAUAAUGCCUUUUUGAAUGGAGAAUUGACAGAGGAUGUCUAUAUGUAUCAGCCUGAAGGUUUUAUUGAUCAACAAAAACCUAAUCAUGUAUGCAAGCUGAAGAAGGCCUUGUAUGGCUUAAAGCAAGCUCCUAGAGCUUGGUAUGACAAGCUUAAGAAUUGUCUGAUUGCUAAUUGGAAAUUUCAGAAUUCAAAGGCUGAUACCUCUCUUUUCUUCAAAGAAGUGCAGGGCUCAAUGAUACUCAUCUUAAUCUAUGUAGAUGACAUUCUAAUGACAGGACCUGACAAUGGUGAACUGGAGAAAUUCAUCUCAAAAUUCAGUAAGACUUUUGCUUUAAAAGACUUGGGAAUUCUGUCAUAUUUUCUAGGAAUAGAAGUGUCCUAUGCUGAAGAUUGCAUCUAUCUAUCUCAGAAGAAAUAUAUCUUGGAUUUGUUAUCCAAAGCUAAUAUGCAAAAUUGUAAAGGCUGUGACACUCCCAUAGUUACUGGAUCAAAGCUUCAGAAAGAAGUCACAGGCUGUUUGGGUCAAUAUAUUGAGGAUGCAACAAGCUAUAGAAGCUUAGUUGGAGGUUUACAAUAUCUAGUAUUAACCAUACCAGAGAUAGCAUUUGCUGUGCAUAAGUUGAGCCAGUAUGUGACAGCUCCAACACUCCAGCAUGUUAUGGCUUGUAAAAGAGUUCUUAGAUACCUCAAGGAGACUGCAGAUUAUGGUUUGAAGUUUUCAGCAGGUGGGGAAAUGAAGAUCACAGGAUUUACAGAUGCAGAUUGGGCAUGUGAUGUUGAUGACAGAAAAUCAAUAGGAGCCUAUUGCAUUUAUUUUGGAAGCAAUCUAAUUUCCUGGUCAUCCAAGAAGCAGGCUGUGGUUACACGAUCCAGUGCAGAGAGUGAAUAUCGUGCUCUUGCUUCUGCAAGUGCAGAGAUAACAUGGAUCCAGUCGUUAUUCAAUGAACUUAGCAUUAAGUGUACUUCAUUACCAACUAUCUGGUGUGACAAUAUAAGUGCAACAGAGUUGGCCAAGAAUCCAGUUUAUCAUUCAAGGACUAAACACAUUGAACUGGAUAUGCACUUUAUUAGAGACAAGGUUUUGGCAAAGGAGUUAGAGAUUAACUAUAUUCCCAGCGAGGAGCAAAUUGCUGAUGCUUUGACAAAGCCUCUGACAUUUAUUCAUUUCAACUAUUUCAGAGCCAAACUCAAUGUGCAACCAUGCCCCUUGAGUUUGAGGGGGACUGUCAAGGAAGCUCAUAAUGCAUGGAAGGAUGCAGCACACGUGUGAGAUGAAUAUAGUCAGCUGAAUCAAUUGAAGAGUGGAGUGCCAGCUCAGCUGAAGUUAGUUAGACACGUUAAGAUCAAGUUUUAGUUAGUUCUUCAUUUUCUGUUAAGCUGAAAAACAGCUGAGUAUAAAUACAAGCAUAUUGUAAUCAUUUUGAAGUUAAGUAAAAAUAAAAUAAAGCAUUUGAUUCCAGAAGUUCUUUUACAAAUUUUCUUAGCACUUUAGAUACAUUUUCUCAGUAACCAAACAGUCUGUUCAUUCAAGCUUUUAAGCUUUCAAACAAGUACUUCUAGCAUAGCCGCCGCUACUUGAGCCAUACAGAGCCGCAUGUGCCUCGGUGAAGUUUGUUGACAUAGGCUCGUAGUAUUCAGCUGUAACAACAUGAACCUAAUUCAAGUUUCGUUGCAUCGAUUUCAAAAGGUACGAAUUGUCUGGUGGUAAAUAACGAAAUCUUGCGGUCAGGAUCAGCUGGGAUUGCUGGCGGCCAGAGUUUUUUGCCUCUAAUUGUGUAGCAGCUCGGCACUCGUCAAAGAAUAAACCCGUAUUGGACAUAUCGGUGCUCGUGUUCGGAGCUUUCCAAGCAAAGUCUAGGCCCUGAAAGCCAUAAAGCCUAGCUAUUCUUAUUGAAGAGUCGAUGAAAGAUUUCCUGUGAGAAGAAUUUCUCACCAUUGAAGAAUAUAUAGAAUAGUUUGUAUAUCUUCCUUGUCUAAUGGAGAGAAGUGUAGUGGUUGAUGGGUUCUUUUGUUUCACAGUGCCUGUAAAUUUGGGGAAUAUUUGAUUUCCAUCAAACGGUGAUGAUAAAGAUAGCUGGUAAGUGGUGGAAUUGAUAUCAGCGUAAGAGCAGAUAAGGUGAGUGAAGAGAUCAUAAUUUAUGCCCGAAAUGGUGGACACUUCGCUUGGAUCCAAGUAGCCGACCCUGAUCCACGGUUUUGCUUUCGCGGGAUGAAAUUCUGAAUAGAACAACAUGUGGAAGAUGAUGCUGAUAAUUAUGGAUGCCAUUUGAGAGGCUUAUGCUUCUUAAUUACCACUUCGAUGGGAAUGGAAAUGAAUGCACACUAAUAGAAAUUAAAUAAACACAAGUUUCACAGUUCAUUAAGCUCUCAUGUGUACUAUUAACGUAUAGGUUCAUUUCGUUGCCCAAAAAAAUCUUAUGUGCUCCUGAUAGGGACACAUACAUUGGAUGAUAAGAUGAUGAUAGGCGAUGCGACCAUUGCCCAAGAACUAAGAUUUUCUUCUAUCGCGUGGGUGACUUUUCAUGAAGAAAAAUGAUGUUUUGAUUGACAUAUGGUUAAACCGAUGCCAUAUUUCGGGCUACAAAUAUCAGUAUUGUUUUAUUAAAUAAUUAAAAAAAUUAAUUUUACGUGCAUGUUGAAGGUAAUAUUGCAGUCUUUUGAGCCUGUGUUGAAUUUCAUUCGUGUGCGUUCAUUUAUUAUCUAUCCUCUUUUUUCUCUGUGUGUCUGCUAGCUCUAGUCAUCUUAAAAGAAUAACAUGUUUAAUUAAUGCAUGUAAAUGCACCGCAAAAGUAGUUAAGAAAGACUUGAUCAAAGAUCAGACAUUUUCUCUCUACUCAAAAAGUAGUUAUUGGACUAAUUAAGAUUCUAAUCCCUUUAAGAAAUAUUGAAAAAGGGUUACUGUCACUACUUCAGUCCUUGUUGUUACAUAUAUAUAUAUAUAUAUAUAUAUAUAUAAAUUUAAAGAAGCAUCACAUAAAUCCUUCCUAAUUAUAUUUUGUUUCAUUCAAGUUGUUGACUUAAUUUGUCUGCUUGGAAAAAUUAGUAAAAAGGUAAAAAUAAAAAAAUGUAAAUUCUACUUAUUAGACUAAAUAUAUAGUAUAAAUUUGCAGCAACCAGCAAAAGUUUGGAAUAUGAAAAAUCCUAUUAAUUUUUAAAAAAUCUCCGAAAGUUUGAAAACUAAUAUUUUAAGGUCCUUUUACAAUAACCAUAAUUAACAUGAAUUUACUAAAUUAGGCAAACCCGAAUUACUACCAUAUAAUAAAAUUUUAUAACAGAAAUAAGAAAACAAAACAAAUAGCAUCAAAUCUUAUAUCUAAAAAAAAAUCUUGAAAUAAAUAGAAAAAAUAAGAAAAUAACUAAAACUUGCAAAAUGACCAUGAAAGAAAUGAAAUUUCCGACUGAACCAAAGGGCCAAUACACAUAGCAUUAUUGGACUAGAUCUAUCAUGGUGCAAACUUCAAAACAGUAUAUUAUAUUUUCUAAAUGGACACAUAUAGGUUAAGUUAUGAUAUUAAAAAAUAUCCUAUUCAUCUUACACAACCAUUCUAUGUCACUAUAUCUAUACACUAAUAAUAUAACCCAAACAUUUAUGGAGCAUAACUCACAGACCUCCACUAAUUACACUAAAGUUUACUCUCAUUUUAUAAGAGAGAGAAAUGUUCUCGUUCUCCAUUUAUGGGGGAUUAAACCAAAUGGUCUGUUUUUGAUUUUCUGGUAAGUUGUGUAACGUUGGAGCUUUUUGGCACUUCUUUGACGAAAAGUCGUUCUCUUCGACAACCCAAAAUUCGGGCCAAUGGGCAAUUAUGAAAGUCCAUUGGAUGCAUUGGACCAAACUAAAAGUCCAUAUAUAUAUGUAUAUAUAUAUAUAUAUUCAAUAAAUGAAAUGAAAAAAUGCAAUUGGCUUGCAGUUGCAAAGCUUCUUUGUUUAUUAUUAUAUAAUAUAAUAUAAUAUAAUUUUAUAUCAUUUUGAAUAUCAAAAUUUUAUUUCAAAAUUUAUUUAACACUAGUGUUUAAUAUAAGAUACAAUACUACCAAAAUUCUAUUCAAUAGUUUAUUUAAAAUAGUAUUGACUAUUAAAAAUAAGAAUUUACACUAAUAUUAAAUAUUAAAUUCAACAAUUAGUAACAUUAUUUAAAAUAAUUAUAGUAUUUAAAUGGUUAUUUAUCUUUAUUAAAUAAGAUUUAACAUAAUCCUCUGCGACAUUUUACUAAAUAAAUACAGUACUAUAUAUAAUCCAAUCUAAUCUUAAACAAUAAUCUAUUCUAUUCCUACCUUCCAAAUAUAAACACAAUAGAUAAUGAGAGCAUGAGCUAUGAGAUUAUAAAUCAUGGAUCAAGGGAGUAGAGAUACAGACCUUGAGAUCAUAGAUCGUAGACUAUUAGAGACUAAAGACCGUGGACAAAUCCGAGUACAUUAAAAAAAGGGGAAUUUUAGUCAAAUGUAGAUUGAUAUUAAGGAAUUCAGCAAGCAAGCUACAAGAAUAUCCAAAAGCGUGUAAUUUAUGUUUAAGGAAACAAGUGGAGAUAGAGAUGAAAUUGUAAAUUCAUCCCAAUCUUAAGUGGCUUAAUUCAAGAUGUAUGUUACCUACAAGCACAAUAAUAUGUACACGUUAUGUAUACAUGCAUCACAUACGUGCGUCGAUCAUCGAUGUAAAAGUAACAGUAAAUUUCUAGUAAAACAAACAUCAUUACUUUUAGUAUAAGAUGUAAAAAAUAUCAAUUAAUAACCAUUAGAAAAUAAAAAUUUAUGUAAUUGAUGCAGAUAAAUGGAAUCAAGUAGUAACAUUUCCUUCUCAUUGAAGAGAAAAGAUUAAAAAAAAGAAAAGGGGGGGGGGGGGGGGGGGGGAGGAGCGCAAACAUGACAAUUAUUUUUAUCCGCACGUGCCAUGAUAAUCGAUAAUCCGAUAUACCAACCGCGUCUAAUUGUCUGAAUUCUCAAGCUUAUCAAGCUUGCUCAAUCGCACCGCAGACACUGACCAUGGGAGAUUAAUCACCACUCGCAGUAUUAGGCGCGUGAAGGACACAUUCGCCAAUAAUUUAUAGCGGACAGUAGCAUUCCCGAUGCUGCGCGGAGAAAAAUAGUUGGGCUUGCGAAAGUUAAAUUGACUUGACUCGACAGAGUGAAGAAUGGUGGUGGUUGCUGUUAAGCAGUCGGUACUUCUGGCGACUGCUUGGCUUACACGCAGUUCCCGGGGGUGUCAUUUGACUGUGAAAGAGAAUUUUGGCUUUAUUGAUAUCUUGUUGGAUUUGGAAUUUUGGAUGGCUUCGUGUAGACCAUAAGACACGAUAUCGUUCAUAACACGUUAGCAUUCUUUCUCACGGGAGAAAAACUCGGGUGGGAGCAGAUGUACCAUCUCAACUGCCGUUUAUAAAUGGCUGUCAAAUAAUUAAUCAAAAUUUUAUUAUUUACGGUUAUAAUUGGAAUGAUAAAAAAUCAAUUCGAUGUUAUUCUUUGUGGCUCUGCUUAGAAUACUAAAAAAUCAAAUCGACUUAUUUAUUUUUAUAUUGAUCAUUACAAGUCUCUUGAAUUUUUUACCUACUUCAUUAACUUGUUAUUUUGAGUUGUACGUAACAUGGCUUUUUUUGUUUUUUACUUUACUUUGGUUUUCUUUAUAACCCAUAAAAAUUUUCUUGUUAAGACUGUGUGAACCAAUUGAAACUUCAGAUUCAUACUAGAACUAUGAUGAUUUGAUAAGAGCUUCAAAUUAAAUCCACAGAUUCUAUGAAAAGAAAAGAAAAGAAAAAGUCUUUUAUUGGUAAAAGAAGAAAGCUCUUCGGCACUGAUCCGAAGAAAAAUCAUUCUCCAUACAAUGAGCAAAACAAAGUCCAAUUCGCAUUACAUAGAAGUAAAACCGAAGCAUUGGACUAAAAGCAUACAUUAGUCUUAUUUUUCGUUACUGAUAACAUUUUUUUUCCCUUAUAUUAUCACCUUAAUUAAGAAAAAUAAUAAUUUGUUUAACUAAUUACAAAAAAGGAUGGCUAUAUACAAUAUUCUUGUGUUGGAUGGCCUUAAAAGUCAAUUCUUUUGAAACAGGAAAACUGGUAUCGUUUUUCAAAACACAAAAAUAUUAUGUUAAGAAAAUGAAUGGUCUUUAAGAGUUAUGACAAUGAUAUCAAUAAAAUUACAAAAUCUUAAGAGUUUAUAGAUGUAGUUAGUGAUAUUACAUUACAUUAAUUAAUACAAUGCAAAUUGUUUACUAAUAGAGCCUCAGGAGAGUGAUUCAUUAUUUAGUUGGCCAAUUAAACAACUGCAGCAGUCACUAGCAGCUUGCCAAGAGCUAGCAUAGAUCAAUUGUUCAUCUACCAACCAAUUUUGAAAUUGUUACAUCAUUACUUGAACAUAUUUCCAAUCCAAUCGUGGCUUUGUUUUGUUCAUCUUCAUAAGCUUUGUUUGAGAAACUUGCAGGCUUCUUUGGAGUCAUUAUAUCAGCUGUAUUUUCAUUUUCGAUCAACGAAGAAAUUUCUAGUAUAGAAGGUCUAUUGUUUGGGUUCUCCUGAACACAUAGCAAAGCUACUUGCAGACAUGUCAAUAAUUUCCAUGAGGAAUGCGUAUCAUCUAGUGAUGGAUCCAUUAACUCCGUGCCUUUCCCAUCCUUCCACAACUCGUAUGCCUGAAAACAUCAAAUAUGUUAUUGACUAACAUUCAAUUAAUUAGCACUGUAAUGUUUUGAUUCAGUGAAUAUUAAAAAGGGGGUUAUGAAGAAACUUACAUACUCUACAAGGCUUAGAUUUUCAUUUUGACCAUAUCGAAUGAAAAGUCUUCGCCCACUUAUAAUUUGCAGAAGCAAAACCCCAAAACUGUAGACAUCAGAUUUAGUGGAGUAGAUGCCUCUUCCGACAUAUUCAGGAGGGAUAUAGCCUCUGUAGUAUCAAGUAAUUAUAAAUGUCAGUGUUUGACAUAAAAGAUUAAGUUGAUUGGUAAAGGUUCAACAAUAAUAUUAAAGGCAUGUCAGACAAUAAUAGACAAAUAUACACUUACUGUGUUCCAACAAUUCGAUUUGUGUUUGCUUCAAGAUCAUCUUUCACAAAAAUUCUAGCCAAGCCAAAAUAUGAUAUUUUAGGUGUCAAAUCUUCAUCCAACAAAAUAUUACUAACUUUUAAGUCUCGAUGAAUAAUUGUUAAUCUAGAAUAUUCUUGGAGAUAGAGAAGCCCCUGAAUAAUUCCUUAAAUGAUAUAAAUACGUUUUUUCAAAUCCAAAAUAAGCCUUCGGAUGGGAUCUGCAUCAAAUGUAAACUUAGUUGGACGGUCAGCACCAUUAGCAUUUGGAGACAGAGAAAUGCAAAUUGAGGCACAAAAAUUAGAAAUUAAGCAGUUAAGCACACACCAAAAAGGAAAUAGUCUAAGCUUCGUUUUGGCAUAUACUCAUAGAUGAGCAUAUAUUCUUGCGUGUCGAUGCAAAAACCCAAAACUCUGAUCAAAUUUAUGUGUUGAAGCUUUGCAGUAAGCAUAACCUCAUUCUUGAACUCCUCAAAUCCUUGUGUGGAUGUCUUCGAGAGUUUCUUCACUACUAUUAUUUGUCCAUCAGGUAAUGCACCCUGCAAGCACCCCCCAAAAUAUAUGUUUUUUUAAAAAUCAGUGUGUUCACACACACACACACGUAGCUUGCACUAAUUAAUUAAUAAGCUAAGAGAUAACCAAGCUACCGAUACAUAACCUUGUAAACAGGACCAUAUCCACCCUCCCCGAGCUUAUUUUCGAUUGAAAAUCUAUCCGUGGCCACCUCAAUAUCAGCCAAGCUAUAUUCUCUCAGAUCAGGAUCAUUGCUGUUAAAAUCUCCAGCAUCUGCUUGACUAUUUUCGCUGUCCUUUGAUGCUUUGGCUGAGUCAAUUACGGUCCAAUUAAUAUCAACCAAGAGAAAGAAAGCUAAUUUAAGUGAAUUGCCCACUUCUUCAUCUGUGUUAAAUGGAAUAGAAGUAAAAAUAUUCCUAAUCCCGUGUAGAAGAAGUUACCUUUUAAUUUGAGGUUUUUCAUCCAGCAGUAGUAAUACAGUAAAAAACCAAUUAGAAGAAUACAAGCUGCCGUUAUAGGGAAAACAAUUGCCCAUAAUAGUCGCUUAUUUUGUCGAUUCUUAUUUUCCUCUUGAGCUGAAAAGUCAAAUCACUUUGUGUUAGUUAAACAUUUGAUGGUCAAAUAAAGAUCUUAAUUGAAGUCAUUAUGCAGAGAACUGAUCAAAUGGAUAGCAGGCAGUGACUGAGGCUUUGCAUUUGCUUACCUGCAGCUUGAGAAAGCAUCCAAUAAUGAUCAUAGGAAACUAGCCACACAAAGUAACCACGUAGUUUCUUCUCCUUGGCAUAUGAAACCUUCACUCUAACGGCUUCGACAUCAUCAAAACCAAACCAAAUCUUCCCAAUCGAGAAGUAAUUCAUCACAUAAGUUGAAUUGUACAUAACUUGAACGUUAGGACCAUAGUGCUUGAUGCGAUUCUUGAUUUCCUUAUAAGUCACAAGGCCGCUAGAAUACAAAGCUGGUCCUGUUGCUGCUGCACCAAUACCGUUGUCCUCAGGUUUCACAAGCGUCCAUGCAUAGCCAUAGAAAGGUAAACAUAAAACCAAUUUAUCAGCCGAUAACCCUUCCUCAAUCCAUUCCGUGAUUCCGUAUUCAGUAUUGGAGAUACUAUUUGGAUCAUACAGAGCCGCGUGAGCACCAGUAAAAUUUGACCACAUAGGUUUUGUGUAUUCAGUAGUCAAAACAUGAACCCAAUUCAAGUAUUGACUUAUCGAGUCGACUGGGUAAGCUCCUGCUCUUGAGAAUGGUGAAUAUGCGACCAUUGCCGUCAAAAUCAACUGUGAUUGGCUCGAGUUAUUUCUUGCUUCUAAAUCUACGGCUGCUCGCCACUCUUUAAAGAGAAUGCCAAUAUUGUACUUAUCCCAGCUUGUGUUUGCCUGAGGCCAAGAGAGAUCUAAGCCUUGAAAGCCAUAAAGUCUUCCUAUUUUUAUUGAGGAGUCAAUGAAGGAUUUCCUAGAAGAAGGAUUGCUCGCCAUGGAAGAAUAAGUUGAAUAGUUUGCAUCAUUUCCUCCGAUGGAAAGAAGUGUAGUGAUUGAUGGGUUCUUUAUUUUGACAGUGUCAGUGAAGUUAGAGAAUUGUUUUUCAUCAGAAGGUGAUAAAGAAAGCUCAUAGGAAGUUGAAUUCGUUGAAACAAAAACAAACGUUAUGCCUUUGAUCGUGCAUUUCCAAAUAAACACAUAUUUUAGGUAAUUCCGAAAUUUACCACGAUCUCCCAUGAAUCCGAACUUGCAGCUUGUUAUGGAGCUUCAACAGAGUUGCUGCUGCUUCGGUCUAGCUUCUGAAUUCCGCUUUCUUUUCCUUCAGCUCCAGAUUCGGCUUUUCUCAGUAAGUUACUGUACACACACGGGAGAGAAACGGGAGAGAGAGAGAUGCACUGCACUCAUGCCAGAGAUUUCUUGAACAGUCAACUUCCAAUGGGCUGAAGUUACUUAAAUACAGUGGUUGAGCGCAGGGAACCCUCAUGUGUUAGUACAAAAUUACCCAUCCCAUUAUGGGCUUAAAUAACACAAUUAAGGAUAUACUUGUCCAUAAUAUACUACUGUACAGGGUAUGUCAAAAUUAGACUCAUUAACACCAUAUUUGAUCACUUAAUAAAUGAGUCUGUCAAAAUUGCUCAACAAUAUUUGACUUUAGUCACGUAUUAAUUCGGUAAAAUAUAGAAAAUAAUUAGAAUGAUUUAUGUCAGUCCACAUAAUGUGAGAAAUAAAUCUAACAGAAUUGACAUUAGCAAAACCACAUAUAAGGUGAGUGAAAAGAGCAGAAUUUACAUCUGAAACGGGGAACCCGUUGCCUGAAUCCCAGUAACCAGCUCUGAUUAAAGUUUGUGUUCCUGCAGGAAGCGAUUCUGAAAAUAUAAAAAUGUGGAGGACAAGAAUGAUAAUUUUGGAUGCCAUUGUGGGAACCUAGCUGCUUUGAGGCAUACCUAGUAAGUGAUUACAUAUAUAUGUACACACACAAUGUAAUGGAGAAAAUAUCCGAUAGCGAUUGAGAUUAGUUAUUGGACUAUAAUACAAACCUGAGGCAACUUUCAGCUCAUGAGCUUAUCUCAUAGGUCUUUAUACGAUAUCAAAGUCAAGUUACGAACGAGUGAUUCUAUACUACCUUUUAAUUUAACAAGGAGAAAGAUAAGAGAUCAACCUACACGUGACAGGGUGAUAGAAAAAAUUUAUCACAUUAGCUAAGAUUAAUUACUAUGUUAAUGAUAUAAGCUCAAAACAACACUCAACUCAAUAACAAGUUGUAAUUUAAUAAAGUUAGGUCAACUCGAUAUUUUAUAGAGUAUGUCGUGAGUGAGGAGGAGUUUAAGCAACAAAUCGAGCUCAUGAGUGAGGACACGUUUGAUUUUCACAAGAUUUUGCGUUUUGUGCACGUUGGUCAUGGACUGAAUCAACUUAGAAAAUAUUUUCACAAGAUUUUGCCUUCCAAUUGCAUGGAUGGAGUUAUAGAGGAAUACAUCGAAAAGUUCGUCUUCUUGCCAUGAUGAUAAGUGAAAAGAUUGAGGUUCUUAAAUUAAGCUAUGACCUUUUACCUCCACUUAGCUUGACUUUUGAAGCUGAAGACUCGUUCUUUUGUAUUGACUUUGUUGGUAUUUAAAUGACCUCGGAGUCUUGGACGUGUUUCUGAAGCAAUGUCAUGGUCUAUGAGUAGAUUUUUUUUUUUGGGUAAGAAAGGGAAAGUCUGUCGUUGGGAAAACAUCCUGACAACGGGAUGGUGGGAGGGAAAAAAAAAAAAAAAUUAUACACUUAGGGUCUGUUUGGAAAAAUGAUUAUAGGGUAUUAUAAUACUAUUCAUAUUGACUUAAUAUCAAUACUAUUCACAUCGAGUUUAGCUUAAUGUGGUAGUUGCCGCAUUAACGUUUUGCUUUUGUUUUUUUUUUUUUACUUUUGCUUUUUAAUAAUAAUAAAUAAUUAUAACUUUUUAAUUUAAUAUAUUAUUAUAUAAUAUCAAUUAUUAUUUUUUAUUUUUACCUCAAAAUUAUUAAAAUAAAUUAAUAAUUUUAUAAUUUAUUAUUCAUAUUUUAAUUUUUAUUAUAUUAAAAAUAUAACUAAAUAAUGUAUUAUUUAAUUAUAUAAUAAUUAAUAUAUAAAAUUAAUUAAUAUUUAAUAAGUUAAUAUAACUAACAAUAAGUACUUAAAUAAUAUAUAAAAAUUGAUUAUUAUUUAGAAAUUUAAUAUAACUAACAAUAAAUAUUUAUAUAUGAAUAAAUUUAAAUAAUAUUAAUUUAAAAUUAAUAUCAACAAAAAUAAUAACGUAAAAUAUCAUUAUGUUAUGAUAUUAUUUAGAGAUUAUUUGAUUAAAUUAUUUACUUCGAUCUUUAUUUCACAUGUUAUAUAUUUAGAAAAUACUGAAAAAUAAAUGUUAUGCUGCCGAAAAUAUAAGGCUAUAAGUUUCGAUCUUUACAAAAAAUUGUGAUGCUUUUUAACAUUUAUACUAAAAAAUAAUGUUAAAUUUCUAAAAUUUAAGACUUAUAUAUUUAGUAGUUUUCUAGGUACUAUAAAUAUUAUUUCCUAAAUAUAUAAUUUAAGUUAAUCACAAAAAAUUAAUACAAUAUAGUGUAGCAUCAAACGUUGUAUAACAUUAUUAUAAUAUAGUGCUAAUACAAUACAGCAUAAUGCAAUACACAUCCAUUAAAAUAAUAUAACAUAGUGUGCUAAACUCACCAUUAAUUACUUCCUAAUGUUAAAAUUCAGUAGUAUUGUAAUUUUAAUAAAAAAUUGAGACCCUUUUAUCAUUUAGAUGUAAUAUACUUACAUUGUUCCCACAACUUGUUUUGUAUUCGCUUCGAGACUCUUUUGCAAAAAUCCUAACCAUACCAAAAUCUGAAAUUUUAGGUUUCAUAUCUUGACCUAACAAAAUAUUACUAGCUUUCAAAUCUCGAUGGAUAAUAGUCAGUCUUGAGUAUUCUUUGAGGUAUAAAAACCUUUGAGUCAUCCCUUCAAUGAUAUGAACACGUUUUUUCCAAUCCAAAAUAAACCUUCUGAUGGGAUCUACAACAGAUAUAUAGUUUUAGACAAUAAGUGAUAUGCAAAUGAAUUAUAUACACAAUUAAUAUUAACUUGAUUUCAGAACAAACCAAAAAGGUAGCAAUCCAAGCUUUGUUUGGCAUGUACUCGUAGACUAGCAUUCGUUCCUCACUGUCAAUGCAAAAACCUAAAACUCUAAUAAGAUUUACAUGUUGGAGUUUUGCAGUAAGUAUAAUCUCAUUCUUAAACUCCUCAAAUCCCUGUGUGGAUGCUUUCGAAAGUUUCUUCAUUGCUAUCACCUCUCCGCAGGGUAGUAUACCCUGCAACCAAAAAACAAAUGUUCAUAUAAAGCUUGCACUAAUUAAAUAAGUUGAGAAAUGUUUGCCAAACAAUAUGUUUCCCUCCAAAGUUGAGGGCACCAUUUUAAGUCCUUUAAGUCCCCAUAGACGCAUGAAUCUCCUCUCAGAAAAUAUGGAUAUGGGUAGACAUAUCUUCCUAAAUAUUAGUAGAAGUAGUUAUAUCUCUCUAGUGCGAGGUCAGAGGUCUCAUGUCUAAUAGGUAUAGAUUUUUAAAUUAUAUGUUUUGGGCCUCUGAAUUUUACUCUAAGUGUAUGAAUUCAAAGUUCCGACAGAAUCCAAAUUGUAACAUUUGUGGAUUUUGUGUGUGUGUGUGUGUUAACUUGUAAACAGGACCAUAUCCACCUUCCCCUAGCUUAUUUCUAACUGAAAAUCCCUCGGUGGCCGCCUCAAUAUCAGCCAAACUAUAUACUCUGAGGUUAGGAACAUUUCUGUUAAAGUCUCCAGCUUCUGCUUCAUCAUUUGCUCUCGUGUUUGACGCUUUAGCAGAGUCCUCUGUUCC
Molecule: long non-coding RNA, 17608 nt
Filed under: Citrus maxima (pomelo)
Lineage: Eukaryota; Viridiplantae; Streptophyta; Magnoliopsida; Sapindales; Rutaceae
Description: long non-coding RNA (CMAX_LNC003500)
Source: RNAcentral